RNAcentral lists this unclassified non-coding RNA (326 nucleotides) under soil metagenome. Its description in RNAcentral is "partial contains 5.8S ribosomal RNA, internal transcribed spacer 2, and large subunit ribosomal RNA". The stretch from base 1 to 120 matches the Rfam family "5.8S ribosomal RNA", at positions 35 to 154 of the family's 154-position model. The record is from RNAcentral.
GAUGAAGAACGGAGCGAAAUGCGAUAAGUAGUGUGAAUUGCAGAAUUUAGUGAAUCAUCGAAUCUUUGAACGCACAUUGCGCCCUAUAGUAUUCUGUAGGGCAUGCCUGUUCGAGCGUUAUUGAGACCUCAAGCUCUGCUUGGAAAUGGGCGCUUGUCUUGCCUUGCAGACUCGCCUUAAAACCAUUGGCAGCUGAUUUACAAUGUUUGGUGCACAGUACAUGAGCCCAAGUGUUGCAAUGAGUGGCCCAAAAGUAUACAAUAGAAGCUUAACCUCGGAUCAGGUAGGGAUACCCGCUGAACUUAAGCAUAUCAAUAAGCGGAGGA